Long non-coding RNA from Globicephala melas (long-finned pilot whale), 4625 nucleotides. RefSeq lists it as uncharacterized. The record is from RefSeq and is a predicted model, not a curated record. Lineage: Eukaryota; Metazoa; Chordata; Mammalia; Artiodactyla; Delphinidae.
UGAGUGAAAUGCCAUGCGAGCAGGUGGUGUUGGGCUCUGCGGCAUUCCAGUGAAGGCGAUAAGGAGCCGUGUGAAAGAAGACACCCCCAGGCCCUGCUGAAAGCAUUUUCCCUGCGCAUCUACGUGCCCGCUCUUGCUUUGAGGCUGAAUGUGGUUUGGGGAGAAACCAGCACUGUUGCUACUGCUGGUGAUUUAAAGUUCCCUCACGGCGGCUUGCAGAGCUAAAGAAUGCAUGCUAACAACUCCUACUAUUACACAGACCCCAGAGUGGCUGCCUUGCCCAACCUUGCAGCAUCAGGGAGUCUAUCAGUUUGCUAGGCCUCCAUUACAAAGUACCACAGACUGGAUGGCUUCAAGAACAGAAAUUUAUUUUCCCACAACUUUGGAGGCUAGAAGUCUGAGAUCAAGGUGUCAGCAGAGCCUUCUGAGGCCUGUCCCCUUGACUUGUAGAUGGCUGUCUUCUCCAAGUGUCUUUACAUGGCCUUCUCUCUGUACCUGUCUGUCUCUUAAUCUCCCCUUCUUAUAAGGAUGGCAAGCAUUGGAUGAAGACCACCCCAAUGACCUCAUUAGGCCGAAUUACCUGUAAAGCCCCUAUCUCCAAAUACAGUCACAUUCUGAGAUACUGGUGUGUAGGACUCCAAUGCAUGAAUUUGGGGGGAUAAAAUUUAGCCCAUAACAGAGAGCCACAGCAUACAGUCAGCCAAACUGCCGGUUAGUUUCCUUUCCAAUAUACAAGAAUAUAUAAAAUGGAGGUGACAAGAUCACUUUUGAGAUUUUGAUAAUUUUGUUUGUUCUUCAGAUUUCCCACAUUCUUCCUAUUCCAAGAAAGUAGUCAGACCCUUACAAUUUCCUUAACUCAAGGAUUUUUCUGAGCAGAAACAGAAGGUGGUAACCGUGAUUCUCAGUUUCAUAAGGUCUAAACACCAUGAAAUGAUUUUGCAAGGUGUCCCAGAGCAAUGCCUUUGAGAAAAGCAAGGGAGGGGCUUAGUUCUGACUAGGAGGGACUAGUGGUCGGUAGACCACCAUGCUACUGUCAGGGAAAGAAUGGCAAGGCCUCGGGGGAAAGGGCUGCAGGGUCUUUAGAGGGAGGACAAACACCAAAAGCAGGGCUCCCCCGAUCCCUGUCAACCUUCCUCAGCCACAUGCAUGUCACAGAAGCUGCAGUUAGGACCUGACUGCUGGCCAAGACCAUGGACAGUUCAGUGACCAGUGAGGGCAAUGACUGAUGACCUGCUCCUCUGUUGAAUUCUAACACCUUUGCAAACCCCAGGGAGGAAGGAGCCCUAACCAUACCUGAGAUUGGCUUUCAGCCAGCACAGUGAAAUGGGGGACUAGAGUUGGAGUAACUUGAUUAAAAUGGUAAAAUUAUAUUCUUGAGCAAAUUAUAUUCUUAAGCUAAUUUAUGCGCUUUUAAGCAUAUAGUUCAUUCAUUCAUUCAAAAGUCAUUUGAAUGAAUGAGUGCCAGAUGCUCAUUCUAGGUUCAGGUGGUGUAGCUAUAAGCAUUCCAGGCAAAAUUCCUGCUCUCUUGGAGCCCAUAUUUUACUGGAGAAGCCAGACAGUAAAUAAGUAAAUAAAAUAGCUUCAGAGAGAAAUGAGAGCUAAAAAGAGAGAGGAACAGGGUAACAUGGCAGAGUGAGGGGAAUGAUACACAUAGGAGAUCAGAAAAAGCUUCUCUGAGCUGAGACACGAAUGAUAAGGAGACAGUUAUUUGAAAGACAGGAAGAGUGGGAGGGAGAGCAAAACUAUGCCUUGUCAGUGCAAAGAAAGAGAUGGAGGUUAGCAAGUGUAGUACAUGUGAACCCAUUACAGGAGAAUCUGUCAUGAAGUUAAUGAAGCAGAAGCUCAGGACCCUCCCUUCCAAGGCCCCAGAAGGAACACCAGCAAUGUGUUCACAUGUUCACAUGCCUUUGUAAAAUUUGCCAAAGUAAAAUACUUGAACUGAAUUUGGUUAAGAUUGUUGUCUUUUUUCACUCCGACUUCCCCUCCAAGUGGUGGUAGAGCAUUAUCGAAAUCCAGCUCAAGGGAAGAUGAGUUGGGGAUUGGUUCAGCUUGGUUUUGGUGGAAUAUAUUUAUGUGGUUCUCAGUCACAUUCAUGUCAAGUUAUUGCCAGCUGCGCCAGCAUAGGAAUGAACAGCUCCCAGGCACACUCCCCCUAUGUGUUGUGCCGAUAUGCCUGGUGUGGAAACACUGAAGGGCAGGGUCAGAGGUCUUACCAUAACACCAACCCAUUUUAGGGUGCUGACACUGUAUUUGGUAGUAAAGGAGAAACAUAAGUUGGCAUGUACAGCACCACAAAUUAGUCUGUGGAAACUUUUUCAGUAGCUAAAUAUAAAAAUUGCCAGUGAAGAAUUAGUUUCUUAUUGAUGCCUAGUCAAAUGUGAAGCUUUCCCCUUUCAGGAACAUGCUAGAUGAUGCAGCGCAUAUAAUUAUAAAUGCACCAUGCUUUUUUUGGCUACCAUGAAAAAUAGAAUUUAUCAGAAUUCCUACGUUUCUGGGCACAAACCUGCAACCAUGUUACAGUGCAAGUCAAUUAUCAGUAAUAAACCAUGUGGUGCGCAAGCCAAUUAUCAAUAAUAAAAACUAGUAUUAAUUAACUAUGCUAGAGGUUAAUGGAAAAAAAUAUUACAAAGUUAUUGUCAUAUAACUUUGUCUUUGAGGAAAUCAAAGAGAACUCAACUAAAUAAUGUAGGGAAAAACAGGUGUAUCAAACAGUUAAUAAAAAUAUUGUUAUUUAUCUGGAUUUUGAGAUGUCUGUAGUAGUUAUCAGGUAAUUUGUUGGGGGGUGUUCAUAGAUAAAACUAACACAUUUUUAUUUUUGUAAUUUAGGUGUCUCUCUUCUGAUCUUUUUUUUUUCUUGGUGGUACGUGGGCCCCUCACUUCUGUGGCCUCUCCCGUUGUGGAGCACAGGCUCCGGACAGGCAGGCCCAGCGGCCAUGGCUCACGGGACCAGCCGCUCCGCGGCAUGUGGGAUCCUCCCAGACCGGGGCACGAACCCGUGUCCCCUGCAUCUGCAGGCAGACUCUCAACAACUGCGCCACCAGGGAAGCCCGAUCUUUUCAUUUUUCAUCAAUCUUUCUACCCUCUCUCUAACUUCAUAGCUUUGCAAGAUAAAUUAAAAUGUCUGCUUUGCCCUUAGGCUUCUGGAAGGUAAUAAUAUUUAAAGUAAAUACAUUUCCAUUUACAAUGACAAAAUGUCUAUAAAGUACUAUUAAAAAUGCCUAAUAAAAUAAAUAAUGCUGAUGGGGUUCUUGAGUGAAGCCUUAUAUUGAGCCAAAUUUUAGAUAACGAGUAGUGAUUUCUUAAGUUGGGAAUUACUUUUAACCUAUGAAAAAAAAAAUUUAAUUCAAAUCACUGCAUUUGUUGUACCAAGGUGAUCUUUUCGAGACUAAACCACAUAGUGCUUUCAACCUAUUGCAGGUUUGCUAUCUACCCUGCCUUUAAAAACCUGCUUUCAUGCAUUUAUUUAAUAAAUGUUUAUUAUUUAUUUCUAGGCAUGAUGGCACUGUUCUAGGCAUGAUGGAUAUGGAAAUUAACAAGUCAGAUGAGAUGCAUACCCUCUAGACACUCAUAUUCCAGUAAGAAGGACAGACGAUAAAGACAAAUAACCCUGGCUUCGUCAGAAGGUGGUACGCGAGCCUCUCACUGUUGUGGCCUCUCCCGUUGCGGAGCACAGGCUCCGGACGCGCAGGCUCAGCGGCCAUGGCUCACGGGCCCAGCCGCUCCUCGGCGUGUGGGAUCUUCCCGGACCGGGGCACGAACCUGUGUCCCCUGCAUCAGCAGGCAGACUCUCAACCACUGCGCCACCAGGGAAGCCCUCCCAUACUAUUUUUAAUUAUGAAAAUACUCUCUACAGUUACUGAGAGAAUUUUCUCCAACAAAAGUGGGAACACAAAGGACAUUCAAGAUAUCCCAAAGAUCUAUUAUCUAAUUUCAAAAUCAAAUCUUGCACUAUUUGGACUUUCAUUAUUUCAGUACUUACAAUGACACUUUGCACCUGCUUUCUGUAAAGAUGAGACCUUAAAGCUGAAAUUUGGAGGCAGAAGAAUUGGCUUUUAGAGUUAAAGCAUUGUGCUACAAAAACAGAUUUGUAUCUUCCCUUGGACGGCUUGGAAACUGUCAGUGCAAUCCAGGGUAAGAAGGUGUGGAACCUAGAAAGACAGAAGUACGUGGGCCUCUCACUGCUGUGGCCUCUCCUGUUGCGGAGCACAGGCUCCGGACGCUCAGGCUCAGUGGCCAUGGCUCACAGGCCCAGCCGCUCCACGGCAUGCGGGAUCCUCCCAGACCGGGGCAUGAACCCACGUCCCCUGCAUCGGCAGGUGGACUCUCAACCACUGCGCCACCAGGGAAGCCCUUGAAUUAAUUUUUAAAUAUGAUGCGAGGUAGGAGGUACAGAUUGAAGUUCAUUUUUUUGCAUGUGAAUAUCAAAUUGUUCCAGUACCAUUUAUUGGAAUGACAAGAAAAGCCUGUUCUCCUUUUUUAACUUUGUUGAAAAUCAAUUGAAUAUAAAUAUAUAUAUUUCUAUAUAAAUAUAUCCAGAAUCUCUAAUCUGUUUCCUUAAUGUUUUUGUCUAUUUUGUUGCUAAUACCAUACUGAUUUGAUUAUUGUAGCUUUAUAAUAAGUCUUAA